This 678-nucleotide long non-coding RNA is filed under the name Equus asinus (donkey). RNAcentral describes it as "lncRNA (ENSEASG00005033456.1)". Lineage: Eukaryota; Metazoa; Chordata; Mammalia; Perissodactyla; Equidae. The record is from RNAcentral.
GUAAUCUUCACAGGGGCAAGAAUCUUUACCCAUUUGCUUCACCACUGUAUCCCCAGUGCCUGGGACAGUGCUGCUGAGUGAUGAGGAAAAGCACUGCUCACUGGCCAAGCCUAACUGGAAUUCGGAGGGCACUGUACUCCCAACAGAUCAGAGGGCAAGCAGACAGCAAGAGAUGUGCAGGUCACAGGCUGGAAGCUGUGUAUGGUCCUCACCAGCUUUGCUGCUGUUAGGCAUUUGAUUCCUGACUGAGACUGAAGGAAGAAAUGCAUUCCUGUUGAAACUGCUCAUUCGUUCUGAACUGCUGAUGCUCCCUUGAGGAUUUAUGGGUUCAACACUGCUGAACUGAGGAUUAGAAGUUUAACUCAAGGGCUGAUCUAUUUAGCCACCAUCCUGGAAAGAAAAGCCCAGCCUACCACGGAGGGUGAAGCCAGAUGGGAGAGCUGGGCUACAAGGGGGGCAGCCCCCGCAGCUGAGCGUGCUCAGUGAAGAUUCCUGGAGCAAGUGGUCACUCCAAUAAAGUUUCUGAUUCUGUCCAGAAAUCCUCAACUCACAUAGUAAGAAGUGGAUUGAAGGACAAUUUGAACACAGUUUUCUACAUAAUCAAAAAGCAUAUAAUUGAAGAUUGAACUUGAGCUAUAGCUUAAUGUGUUGUUUCUGCGCUGUUCUAUUUUAUUAGCU